RNAcentral lists this ribosomal RNA (402 nucleotides) under uncultured bacterium. Its description in RNAcentral is "bacterial SSU rRNA". It matches the Rfam family "Bacterial small subunit ribosomal RNA", at positions 355 to 774 of the family's 1533-position model. The record is from RNAcentral.
UGGGGAAUCUUGCACAAUGGGGGCAACCCUGAUGCAGCGACGCCGCGUGAGCGAUGAAGCCCUUCGGGGCGUAAAGCUCUUUCGACCGGAACGAUAAUGACGGUACCGGGAGAAGAAGCUGCGGCUAACUACGUGCCAGCAGCCGCGGUAAUACGUAGGCAGCAAGCGUUGUUCGGAGUUACUGGGCGUAAAGAGUGCGUAGGCGGUUUUCUAAGUUCGGUGUGAAAUCUCCCGGCUGAACUGGGAGGGUGCGCCGAAGACUGGGAAGCUGGAGUGUGGGAAAGGCAGGCGGAAUUCCUGGUGUAGCGGUGAAAUGCGUAGAUAUCAGGAGGAACACCGGCGGUGUAGACGGCUUGCUAGACCAUAACUGACGCUGAGGCACGAAAGCGUGGGUAGCAAACA